Paramisgurnus dabryanus is the source of this 3673-nucleotide long non-coding RNA. RefSeq lists it as uncharacterized. The record is from RefSeq and is a predicted model, not a curated record. NCBI's taxonomy places the organism in Eukaryota, Metazoa, Chordata, Actinopteri, Cypriniformes, Cobitidae.
GUAGACGGACGGAUUCUUCAUCUGCAGCAGCUGCAUUCUAAAAGAAACCAUUACAAAAAUAAGGAAAAAUGAAUUUUACAAACUAUGUCAUAUGUUUUCUUUGUUUCCUCAAUAUAACUCUGAUUAGAAUGUCAAACAAAGAGAAAAUCAUCCGUAUUAAUCGUCAAUAUCGUGUAUAUUAUUAAUAUGAGCGUCUUUGUGUUAAAUUCGUGCUACACCACACCAUGCACUUAUAUCGACGUCGCAAUGCAAAAGAAGAAGGGCAAGAAAGAAACCUGUCCUGGUCUGGCGAUUUAAGGGGACAUUUGUUUAAGCCUGUCUAGAUCUUUUAUCAGUCUAGAAAGAUGUUGGAGAAAAGACAUCAUCCUCUUCUAUAAUCUCCAUCUGUAAUUGGACUAACAACUGGACCAGUGAAUGCAGGCAACUUACUCUCCAUUCGACCUUGCAGGUCACACCAUGGUCUCAAGAGGGAAAAUGAGUGCUCUAUGGAUUGAACAGAAAAGGUGAAUCAAAACUCCAACCAUCUGUAUGAGGGUCUGGAUGGAUAAAGGAUGCCCACUGGAGCUGGAAAUGAUGGAUCAGGUGGAUCCACACUUGAACCAUCUGUAUGAUGAUCUGCACCCACUGGAUCUGUAAAUGGUGGUGCAGAAUUCUGGCCUGGUGUUUGGUCCCCCCUUUCUCUGGCUUGUGUCUCCAUCAUCAUUACACUCUUGUCAGUGUAAUAGUAUCGUCGUCUGCAUACCAGGACUUUGUUACUCAGCAGUCCCUUCUCCUUCAAGCUACAUUUUUGUCAAGCUGCAACAAGUUGGAAUACAUAAUUAUUAACGUUUAAUGAUUUUGAUGUAUGAAAUAUGUAACAAAAGCAAAAAAUGUAUAGACAUUCUAUUAAGAAAUUACCUUUUUGUUGUUUGUUUACUGACCUUUCAACCAUAUUGCAUUUAUAAUUGAUCAUCAUACCUUUGGUCUACUGUUAACAGGCUACUGUAGAAAACAAAGUCAAACAAAAAAGAGAGAAAAAAUUAUAAAUGCUGAAUGUGUCUCAUCUUAAAUACAUUGUUGUUGUUUUUGUUUCAUUGAAUUUGGAUGUUUUGAUGAUUUAAGGAAAAUUUACGUAGCAUAUAUAUUGAUGUUUUAAAUCAGAGUUUGUUAAUGACACUUAAUCAUUAACAAACAUUUAAAAAGCUUUAUUACAAUACUAAUUGAUAAUAUUCAUGUAAUAAUAUUGUUUUGUAACACCCUAAAUCACUGAGCGCACAAACGCUACCCCUGUUACAAGCAUGAGUGAUUGACUUCAGGCACACAUGCGCAGACAUUGAAGUACCGCGAGAGUGAUUCAAAAGCCCACGAAACAGUGUAAUCACGCGGUACUGUGAUGUCAUACUGGUUAAGGCUAAGCCACGUGAAGCCGGACACAAGGGCUACACUAAUCUUUGGGCUGGAGUAGCCUGUGGCUUUUAAGGCUUCGUGUCUCAUCGCGUUAAACGAUCGCAGAACGAUUUAUUUCUCUUUUUCACCUCGAUCUUUGGCCUCGUGUGAUUUACCAAAACCAACAUGUGAAGUUACAACGCUGACGAAGGAGUUUCAUCAGUAGAGUGUGUCCUGGAAAACGUGUGCUCGGAAACAUACAGAAUACAGUAUUUACAGAGCCGACCUUGAGGCACCCACUGAUGGAUAAUCUGUUUACCUAAAAACAGCCCACCACAAUCCAUGUUUACCAGCUGUGAAAGUGCAGGCCAAAAAUCUUCCUUCACCUGUGGGCCUCUACCCACAUGUAGAUAAGCAUUUCAGGAGAAACCUGCCUGUGAUCUGCUAAGAUGCAAAGAUUCAACUCUGGCCCAUUGUCAUCCCAACACCUCAUCUGCCAUCAGUUUCGUUUAGAGUCGGUCUAUUGCAAAAGUUCUUAUAAACUUUAAAUGAGACUUUGUGUUAAGCAGGGGUUUCCAAACUUUUCAUUCCACAACAUAUUAAGCCCAGGAUACACAGCAGGAUUUUUGCAAUCCAAUAAGACCUUAUCACACUGUGUGACAAGGAUUGUUUAAACUUCAGCAGUAGACUGUCGAUGAAGACACCUAUUGCAUCUGAAGCUGCGACAUCCGUCAUCAGCAUGCGCUAGUGGUAAACAAAUACAGGUUUGCAGAUCGUAGAAGCAAACACAUUGUUGAUGUGCGAUGAUCAUGCUGAACUUCUUACACUGUCAUAAAACUAUCGUAGGUGUCUUUGGUCCCAGGACUGGGAAAACAGACGUCUUUAAACCUCUCACACUGUAUGAGAUAGGACCACCAAUUAAGAGCCACGAUCACAGAAAUCUCCACGAUUGUUUCACGAUUGGUAAUCUUUCAUCUGGGACAGCCAAAAAUCGUGCCGUGUAUUAUGGGCUUUAGACAGGUGUAAUCUUAUAGUAUAUCAAAACCAUUGCUAAUAAUUAAUUGGACAAACCAUUACUACAAUGCAACACUCACUAUCUUACGGUGCGACCCACAGGUGGGUCUUCACCCACAGUUUAAAAACCCUGAGUAUGAGAGAGAGUAUGUUGUAUUGUAAUUAAAGUCACAUCUAAGUGUUAUGGAACAGUUUGUCAUUAUAUUCACAGUAUUACAUGGUUCUUUCAGCGGUUACUACGUUACAGUGCUCUUAAAGUGUCCUGAUCAGCUUUGGGUCUUCUGAAGUAAUGUAAUGAGAACUUGAUCAAUAGCUUUGCAGUAUUUUGUUACACUGUGGCUGUAAUCAUAUUAACACAUAGGUUAAACAUUUUAUUCAAAUUUGGUAAACAAACUAGUCAAUAUAAUUCAUGCUGUGAUGCUGGAUUAAACCUGGUCAAAUGAUUGUGUAUUGUGUUUUCAAUUUUUUAUGAGGUUUCUUCAUCUAUAUAAACAUUCUUAAUAUCACCUUUGGUUUGCUCAGAGUUUGUUCAGAUGAUUUUUUAAAACUAAAUGUUGUAAAAAUGCAAGGUGUGUUACACAAUUUCAAUGGAUGGCGUGGGGUCAAAAACUAUCAAAAGUUUCAAGCUUAGAUAUAUAACUGUUGACAAACACACUUAAUGUGAGUCACACCCAGUAAUUAUAAUAAGCAGGAAUUGCAGUAAGCAGGGUCACCUUAAGAUAAUCAGCUUGUUGGCAAUUGUUUUAUUUAAUUAAAUGUAUAACUUUUUUCAUUUCAGACUGAUAAAACAGUCAGAGGGGCAGUGGCUGUUGGCAAUGAUGUUCUUGUGUGUUUUGUAUUUGUUAAUAUUUUGUAGUCAGAAAGAGUAUGAGAUCACCUUUUCUUGUGCAUGGUGCUUUAUCUACGGUAAGUGCCUUUUUAACGUUUUGGAUUAAACGCAAAAUGUCUACAUUGUUUUUUAUUAUACGUGAUAUGGGCUUUUAUUAAUUAUAUUUAAUUAUAUUUUUUGCUUCAAAAUUAAUGCCAACCCUUAAAAACAUGUUGACUAUAUUUUUAAAACAAUUAAACAAGACAUUUAUUAAAAAAAUGAAAUGAGUUGGAGGUCUUUGCUGAUUCGUCUGCGUUUGAUCGGAUUCAAGACCAAACGGAGAUGCAUUGCAGGCAGGUAGGAUUUAGAAUUUUUUAAGAUCUUAAAUACGUCUUGUAGAGAUAUGGAAGACGUAUUAUUCAAAGACGAUCGUCAGCAGAUGUAAAGAUCUUUACAAGACGUAUCUGAGACGUACGUGUGCUAUCU